GCGCCCGUAGCUCAGCUGGAUAGAGCGCCGGACUUCGAAUCCGUAGGUCGCAGGUUCGACUCCUGCCGGGCGCG
RNAcentral lists this transfer RNA (74 nucleotides) under Spirochaetota bacterium. RNAcentral's name for it is "Spirochaetes bacterium (wastewater metagenome) tRNA-Arg". It matches the Rfam family "tRNA". Rfam says of the family: Transfer RNA (tRNA) molecules are approximately 80 nucleotides in length. Their secondary structure includes four short double-helical elements and three loops (D, anti-codon, and T loops). Further hydrogen bonds mediate the characteristic L-shaped molecular structure. tRNAs have two regions of fundamental functional importance: the anti-codon, which is responsible for specific mRNA codon recognition, and the 3' end, to which the tRNAs corresponding amino acid is attached (by aminoacyl-tRNA synthetases). tRNAs cope with the degeneracy of the genetic code in two manners: having more than one tRNA (with a specific anti-codon) for a particular amino acid; and 'wobble' base-pairing, i.e. permitting non-standard base-pairing at the 3rd anti-codon position. Lineage: Bacteria; Pseudomonadati; Spirochaetota. The record is from RNAcentral.